CCACGGGGGGCGCAAGCGUUAUUCGGAAUUAUUGGGCGUAAAGGGCGUGUAGGCGGUUUUAUCGGUCAGAUGUGAAAGCCCAGGGCUCAACCCUGGACGUGCAUUUGAAACAGUAAGACUUGAGUACGGUAGAGGAAAGCGGAAUUCCUGGUGUAGAGGUGAAAUUCGUAGAUAUCAGGAGGAACACCGAUGGCGAAGGCAGCUUUCUGGACCGAAACUGACGCUGAUGCGCGAAGGCGUGGGUAGCGAACAGGAUUAGAAACCCCAGUAGUCC
This 274-nucleotide ribosomal RNA is filed under the name uncultured bacterium. RNAcentral's name for it is "partial 16S ribosomal RNA". It matches the Rfam family "Bacterial small subunit ribosomal RNA", at positions 523 to 796 of the family's 1533-position model. The record is from RNAcentral.